UCUGAACUGCCUCUUCCCUCCCCUCUCGUAUCUGCCUCUGCUUCCACCAACCGGCCUCUUCUUCCGAAGAUAGGACACAAAAAUGCUGGAGUAACUCAGCGGGACAGGCAACAUCUCCUCCUUUCACAUUGCCACUUCUUUCUUCGCCCUUCAGUCUGCCUCCUAUUUCUGCUGCGACUCCUUUCUCUCUCUCUCUCUCUCCAUCCGAUUCACCUCUUCCCUCUUAACUGCCUGGUACUCGAUCUUCCUCCAGGGCCGCCUCCCUCUGCUGUGCGGCCCACACGGAGUUUUCCUGACCACAGGUCGUGAGGCCCAGGGUCGCCCGCCGCAAAUACGAUCCGGACGGAGCCUGAGAUUGAAAAUGGACGCUUCCCCAAAGAUGUGCUACACGUGGAGGUCAUCAACACACGGAAGCCAACAGGAAGAUCAAAGCUUCACCACGAGGAUAUGAUUAAAAGAGAUAUGACGUAUGUUAAAAUUGGCACUGACAACUGGGAAACUGCUGCUGAGAAGCACCGCGGAAAGUGUCCUAUCGGAUGCACCACAACUUGAUUUGACAACGGCUCUGCUCAAGACCACAAGAAAUUGCUUAGAGUUAUGGAUGUCAUCUAGUCCAUCACACAAACCAGCCUCUCCUCAUUAACUCCAUCUACACCUCAGGAAAGCAGCCAACAUAAUCAAGGACCACUUGCAUCCCUAUACUUCCUUCGUCGCCCCUCUUCUGUUGGCCUGAAGAUACAAAAGCUUGAAAACAUGUACCACCAGAUUCAAGAACAGCUUCUUUCCCACUAUUAUCAAAUUACUGUACAGCCCUCCUAUAAGCUAAGGGUGCAUUGCUGAUCUCCCAAUCUACCUCAUUGCGGCUCUUGCACUCAUUUCUCUAUAUCCACUUUAUCUGUAGCCAUAGUGUUUAUAACGCUAUAUUUUGUACCCUGGUAUUUUUGUCUUUGCACUACCUGUUAUACUGGCAUUUGGCUAAUUGUGUCCAGGGGA
Long non-coding RNA from Amblyraja radiata (thorny skate), 993 nucleotides. RefSeq lists it as uncharacterized. The transcript is spliced from 3 exons. NCBI's taxonomy places the organism in Eukaryota, Metazoa, Chordata, Chondrichthyes, Rajiformes, Rajidae. The record is from RefSeq and is a predicted model, not a curated record.